CCUACGGGUGGCAGCAGUGAGGCAUAUUGGUCAAUGGGCGGAAGCCUGAACCAGCCAAGUCGCGUGAGGGAGUCAGGCCCUACGGGUCGUAAACCUCUUUUGCCGGGGAGCAGUGCCCUGCUCGUGCGCUGGGAGUGAGCGUACCCGGAGAAAAAGCAUCGGCUAACACCGUGCCAGCAGCCGCGGUAAUACGGGGGAUGCGAGCGUUAUCAGGAUUUUUUGGGUUAAAAGGGUACUAAAGCGGUCCUUCAGGCCGGCGGUAAAAUUGCGGGGCGAAACCCCGCCGAGCGGUCGGAACUGGGGGCCUUGAGUACCGGAGAGGUACGCGGAAUGCGUGGUGUAGCGGUGAAAUGCAUAGAUAUCACGCAGAACCCCGAUUGCGAAGGCAGCGUACCGGCCGGUCACUGACGCUGAGGCACGAAAGCGCGGGUAUCGAACAGGAUUAGAUACCCGUGUAGUC
Molecule: ribosomal RNA, 460 nt
Filed under: uncultured bacterium
Lineage: Bacteria
Description: partial 16S ribosomal RNA
Rfam family: Bacterial small subunit ribosomal RNA
Source: RNAcentral